AUUGAACGCUGGCGGCAUGCCUUACACAUGCAAGUCGAACGGCAGCACGGGGGCAACCCUGGUGGCGAGUGGCGAACGGGUGAGUAAUACAUCGGAACGUGCCCAGUAGUGGGGGAUAGCCCGGCGAAAGCCGGAUUAAUACCGCAUACGACCUACGGGUGAAAGCGGGGGAUCGCAAGACCUCGCGCUAUUGGAGCGGCCGAUGUCAGAUUAGGUUGUUGGUGGGGUAAAGGCCUACCAAGCCUACGAUCUGUAGCUGGUCUGAGAGGACGACCAGCCACACUGGGACUGAGACACGGCCCAGACUCCUACGGGAGGCAGCAGUGGGGAAUUUUGGACAAUGGGGGCAACCCUGAUCCAGCCAUGCCGCGUGCGGGAAGAAGGCC
RNAcentral lists this ribosomal RNA (386 nucleotides) under uncultured bacterium. Its description in RNAcentral is "bacterial SSU rRNA". It matches the Rfam family "Bacterial small subunit ribosomal RNA", at positions 29 to 416 of the family's 1533-position model. The record is from RNAcentral.